UGAUAUGGUUUAUAGAGUAACAGAGAGUUAAGUAAAGAUGGAAAGCUCCUAAAGCUUAGUUCCAUAUAAAUGCACGGAUAAUUCGUUGUUUUGUCGUUAGUGAAAAACAAUAUUGACCUUGUAGUUGAAAAAGGAGCCUCAUAUAAGAAUGACAUUUCCUUCUACGGAGUCCAUUCAUUCGCAUUUGGAGUUCGAUACUUUUUGACUGAAAAGAUGGCGAAGAGCGGAAACAACAACUGCUAAAGUGAGUCGUUCAAA
Molecule: long non-coding RNA, 258 nt
Organism: Sander lucioperca (pikeperch)
Lineage: Eukaryota; Metazoa; Chordata; Actinopteri; Perciformes; Percidae
Exons: 4
Source: RefSeq, a predicted model, not a curated record